CUCAUUUGAGUUCCUGUCCUGACUUCCUUCAGUGAUGGACUACUGUGUGAAAGUACCAUAAUGGACUACUAGAGUGCUGGAUCACCCACUUUCCUAUCUGAGUCCUGACCUUGCUCUAACUGGCUCUCAGGAGCAUCAUACUGAUCAUAAAUGUAAACUAUACAGUGGUUUGAAUGGAAGUGGCUUGCAUAGGCUCAGUGAGUGGCACUGUUUGAAAGAACUGGGAUGCAGAACUUGGUGGCUCCUUCUCCAGCAGCAUGUCUGCCUGCACACUGCCAUACUUCCUACCAUGACAUAAUGGACGAAACCUCAGAACCUACAAGCAACCCCAACUAAAUGUUUUCCUUUAUAAGAGUCACGGUGAUCAUGGUGUCUCUUCCUAACAAUAGAACACUAAGACAAUCAAACCCAUUAAAACACUUACUAUGUCUCAAAAAACCCAAAAC
Molecule: long non-coding RNA, 446 nt
Filed under: Mus musculus (house mouse)
Lineage: Eukaryota; Metazoa; Chordata; Mammalia; Rodentia; Muridae
Description: predicted gene, 47804
Source: RNAcentral